UAGCUAGUUGGUGGGGUAAGGGCUUACCAAGGCGACGAUCGGUAGCUGGUCUGAGAGGAUGGCCAGCCACACUGGAACUGAGACACGGUCCAGACUCCUACGGGAGGCAGCAGUGGGGAAUAUUGGACAAUGGGGGGAACCCUGAUCCAGCAAUGCCGCGUGUGUGAAGAAGGCCUGAGGGUUGUAAAGCACUUUGGGUGAGGAGGAAGUUUGUUGGGUUAAGAGCUGGACAAAUUGACGUUACUCACAGAAUAAGCACUGGCUAACUCCGUGCCAGCAGCCGCGGUAAUACGGAGGGUGCGAGCGUUAAUCGGAAUUACUGGGCGUAAAGGGUGCGUAGGUGGUUGUAUAAGUUAUCUGUGAAAUUCCUGGGCUUAACCUGGGGUGGUCAGAUAAGACUGUAUGACUCGAGUAUGGGAGAGGGUAGUGGAAUUUCCGGUGUAGCGGUGAAAUGCGUAGAGAUCGGAAGGAACACCAGUGGCGAAGGCGGCUACCUGGCCCAAUACUGACACUGAGGCACGAAAGCGUGGGGAGCAAACAGGAUUAGAUACCCUGGUAGUCCACGCUGUAAACGAUGUCAACUAGCUGUUGGUUAUAUGAAUAUAAUUAGUGGCGC
Molecule: ribosomal RNA, 616 nt
Filed under: uncultured Legionella sp.
Lineage: Bacteria; Pseudomonadati; Pseudomonadota; Gammaproteobacteria; Legionellales; Legionellaceae
Description: bacterial SSU rRNA
Rfam family: Bacterial small subunit ribosomal RNA
Source: RNAcentral